Molecule: unclassified non-coding RNA, 416 nt
Filed under: soil metagenome
Description: partial contains 5.8S ribosomal RNA, internal transcribed spacer 2, and large subunit ribosomal RNA
Rfam family: 5.8S ribosomal RNA (bases 1-120)
Source: RNAcentral
GAUGAAGAACGUAGCGAAAUGCGAUAAGUAAUGUGAAUUGCAGAAUUCAGUGAAUCAUCGAAUCUUUGAACGCACCUUGCACUCCUUGGUAUUCCGAGGAGUACGCCUGUUCGAGUGUUAUGAAGCUCUCAAAACGCAAUUGGCUAAAAACCUGAUUGUUGUUUUGGAUUUGAACUUUGCCGUGUUAUAACGGCUGGUUUUAAAAGUAUUAGCUGGUACUAGAACGAAUUGGUUCUACUCAACGUGAUAAUUAUCUGAUCGUUGAGGACAUUCCUUUCACGAGGAAUGGCCAUAGUAAAUUCAAUGGCCUGCUUCUAAUCUGGCUUUAAUUCUUUAUUGGAUUAACCACUUUUCAAAUCUAACCUCGAAUCAGGUGGGACUACCCGCUGAACUUAAGCAUAUCAAUAAGCGGAGGA